GCUGUGGCUCAGUGGCUAGAGCAUCUGCUUUGCAUGCAGAAGGUCCCAGGUUCAAUCCCUGGCAUCUCCA
This is a non-coding RNA of Podarcis lilfordi (Lilford's wall lizard), 70 nucleotides long. NCBI's taxonomy places the organism in Eukaryota, Metazoa, Chordata, Lepidosauria, Squamata, Lacertidae. The record is from the annotation of a GenBank genome assembly.